RNAcentral lists this unclassified non-coding RNA (688 nucleotides) under uncultured Prochlorococcus sp. RNAcentral describes it as "partial may contain 16S ribosomal RNA, 16S-23S ribosomal RNA intergenic spacer, and 23S ribosomal RNA". The stretch from base 1 to 97 matches the Rfam family "Bacterial small subunit ribosomal RNA", at positions 1437 to 1533 of the family's 1533-position model. The record is from RNAcentral. Lineage: Bacteria; Bacillati; Cyanobacteriota; Cyanophyceae; Synechococcales; Prochlorococcaceae.
ACCCUUGUGGAGGAGGACGCCGAAGGUGGGGCUAAUGACUGGGGUGAAGUCGUAACAAGGUAGCCGUACCGGAAGGUGCGGCUGGAUCACCUCCUAACAGGGAGACAACAAAAUGUUUAAUAUUAAUUUUGUCACCUUAGGUCGAUCGGUAUCUCACAUUCUUAAUUUAUUAAGAAUUUUAUUUCCUAAGUUUUUUCUAGGUCACACCCAUUACUUUUCCUGGGCCAUUAGCUCAGGUGGUUAGAGCGCACCCCUGAUAAGGGUGAGGUCCCUGGUUCAAGUCCAGGAUGGCCCAUAUCUCUGUGUUGGGGGUAUAGCUCAGUUGGUAGAGCGCCUGCUUUGCAAGCAGGAUGUCAGCGGUUCGAGUCCGCUUACCUCCACUGAUCACCACCUCUUCCAUGAAUUUAUAGAAAGGAAUUGUUUUGAGUUGUGAUCAAAUUCUGAACGAAUCUAGCUUCCUAAUCAAACAUAUUAAGAUGCUGGACUCAUUGAAUUAAAUUCAUUGUUUUCAGAGAACCUUGACAACUGCAUAGAUUAUUUUUAAAGACAAUAAGCAUCUUUAAUGAUGCAGAUUUAUUAUUUGUGCGAAUGCAUUAAUAACAAUUCUAUUAAGCUGAUGCUUCAAUUUUUGAAGUUAUUGGUCAAGCUACAAAGGGCUCACGGAGGAUACCUAGGCACACAGAGGCGA